This 484-nucleotide ribosomal RNA is filed under the name uncultured bacterium. RNAcentral's name for it is "partial 16S ribosomal RNA". It matches the Rfam family "Bacterial small subunit ribosomal RNA", at positions 29 to 507 of the family's 1533-position model. The record is from RNAcentral.
AGUGAACGCUGGCGGCAGGCCUAACACAUGCAAGUCGAGCGGCAGCGCGGGGGCAACCCUGGCGGCGAGCGGCGGACGGGUGAGGAAUUCGUCGGAAUCUGCCUUUUUGUGGGGGAUAACGUAGGGAAACUUACGCUAAUACCGCAUACGUCCUACGGGAGAAAGUGGGGGACCGCAAGGCCUCACGCAGAAAGAUGAGCCGACGACCGAUUAGCUAGUUGGUGGGGUAAAGGCCCACCAAGGCGACGAUCGGUAGCUGGUCUGAGAGGAUGAUCAGCCACACUGGGACUGAGACACGGCCCAGACUCCUACGGGAGGCAGCAGUGGGGAAUAUUGGACAAUGGGCGCAAGCCUGAUCCAGCCAUGCCGCGUGUGUGAAGAAGGCCUUCGGGUUGUAAAGCACUUUUGUCCGGAAAGAAAUCCCUGGAGCGAAUACCUUCGGGGGAUGACGGUACCGGAAGAAUAAGCACCGGCUAACUUCGUG